AUGAUGAGUUCAAGGAGGAUCUCUGCUCUGAAGAAAGACUGCAAAUCUUCAUCUCAAAAUGUGCAAGAGAUUUUACAGGUAAGAGCAAACGUUCAGCUUCACCUCUCAGUUUGGACUUUGCUACUAUCAAAGGGAUGGUGGAGCAGAAGUACCCAGCCCCAUGGAGAAGGUAGCUAGGUAGAAUGAGCAAACCCUCCCUGGUGUUGCAUACAACGUGUCUCUGUUCCACACAGGACAACAAAGAUAAAUAGCAAAGCACUUUUCAUGAGCAAUAAACACCCAGGAAAAAGUUUAUUGGACUACGGU
This 306-nucleotide long non-coding RNA is filed under the name Coturnix japonica (Japanese quail). RNAcentral describes it as "lncRNA (ENSCJPG00005004482.1)". Lineage: Eukaryota; Metazoa; Chordata; Aves; Galliformes; Phasianidae. The record is from RNAcentral.